Molecule: long non-coding RNA, 1928 nt
Organism: Monomorium pharaonis (pharaoh ant)
Lineage: Eukaryota; Metazoa; Arthropoda; Insecta; Hymenoptera; Formicidae
Exons: 2
Source: RefSeq, a predicted model, not a curated record
CUUUUCCAUCAAUGUGUUUUUAUAUUGCAUACACAUGCUUUUGUGUCUUGUACACAUAUAUAUAUCCUGUAUCUCAUAUUUACAUUUAUUUUAAUUCUAAAAUGUUAAAGUGCAAGGUGCAAGGACUUCAAUCAAACCUUGAGAUUUAACUUAAUCAGUGAAACCCCUACUAGUCUACACUAAAGGAUUUAAGCUUUAAGCCAUAAGAAACUCACCAAUCACAGUAGUUUGUUAUAAGAAUACUCAGUUGGGAUUGGUCAAUUUCUUACGGCUUAAAGCUUACAUCUUCAUUGUAGACAAGGCCAUAAACUUGUCAAAUGUAUGGGUACUAUAUCGCAAGGUUGGGUAAUUAAAGUUAAUAACUGGUAAUUUAAUUAUAAUUUCAAAUGAUACUGGUUUUGAGACUUUGGGACCAUUGGAGUUAGCAAGAAAGACUUCUGGAUGGAUGGCCAUGAACAGUAUUAUACUGAUGUUUCACAAACAUUAUAAUUUGUUAAUUCCGGGUUGUGCAACCUACAAUGUUUGCAAAUUUUUAACUGGUUAUUUUGAAAUACAAAUGUUAACUUUUUUUUUAAGUUAAAAAAUUACCUAUGUAAAAUAAAAUUAAAAAGUAUAACUCAAUGCCAAAAAUAUUUUUAUGUAAUUUUAUAAAUAAACAAAUCUUUACAAAGAAAUUGUUAAAGGUUUGUUUCAUACUGAAUAUUGAAAUUGUUUUUAUCAUUUAGAAUAAUUUAAUUUUUAUUAAAAAUUACAACUUUUUAAUGUUCUUCAAAAUUAGCUUUUAAUUUAACUUAAUUUAAUCUUAACGCAAUUGAAUUAGUUUUUCAUUUGUGGAACUUUUAACAUAACUAAAUUAAUUUUAGGAGCCAUUUUUAACUUAAUUUAAGAAGUUCUAAGAAAAUAUUAACUUUUUAUCCAAUUAAAAUACUUAAUUUUUUGUGAUGUAAUUUAUAAGAAAAAAUUAAAUUUGGGAUAUACUAAUUAUAUAAUUAAAAAUUUUGAUACAAGUGAUCCUGCCGCUUCUGAACUACUAAUCGAUUAAUUUAACUGGAGCAAGCUCAAUGUUGCAUUAAAAAUUUCACACAAUUUUUCAUUUUUUUUAUACACAUAAUGUAAGUAGAUUUUUCUAUUUUUUACUGGUGACAAGAAUUACACAAUUAUAAAAAAAUUAUACUAUUUUGUUGGAAUUACUUACAAAAAUAAUAACGUAAAGUAAUAUCAAAAAAUUGCACUGAUAACUGGUUAACUUGCUGCAAUACUUAUCACGGCUUUUCAGCGCAAGCAUUAAAUAAUAAAUUUUUUUUAUCUCUACACUCGCAAUGUGCAAUGUCACGCCAUACGUUGUUUUUUCUUUAAACAUUAAAGCAUUUGCGUAACCAGUUUUAAAUGUGUUAUUUAUCUAUAAUGGUUAAGGCAGUCCAGCAUCCCCUUAAGUGAGAUUAACAGUAGGAAACAAUGAAGGAAACAAAAGCUAAAAAUAACUCUGAAAAUGUAAAUAAAAGUGUUUUUUGUCACAUGAUAUAUCAGUUUUUAUACUAUGGCUAGAUUUCAAUGGAACUGAUCAUAUUCUACACAAAAACUAUGCAAAAGAAUUAUACUUUAAUAAAGAAUUAAAAAUUGCACACGGGUAUAUGGACAGUUUUUCUACGCACAAUAUAUGUGUGUGCAAUUUUUAAUUCAAGGAUAAUUCUUGUGCACAGUUUUUCCACGUACAAUUUUUUUGUGUACAAUAUAUUUGUGUAGAAUAUUCUGCUGGUGUACAAUUAUUUCGUGUACAAUAUGAUCCGUGCCAUUUCAAUUUAUGCUGCCAGUACUGAAAAUCUAUAGUUCACGUUACGUAUACCAUAGAUUUUUAAUACUAGCAUUAAAUUUUGGAACACAGCCUAUAUAUUUCGUAUCAUGUAAUAAUUAAUGUUUUCGCAACAUAA